This 515-nucleotide ribosomal RNA is filed under the name uncultured bacterium. Its description in RNAcentral is "partial 16S ribosomal RNA". It matches the Rfam family "Bacterial small subunit ribosomal RNA", at positions 28 to 523 of the family's 1533-position model. The record is from RNAcentral.
GAUGAACGCUGGCGGCGUGCCUAAUACAUGCAAGUCGAGCGAAUGGAUUAAGAGCUUGCUCUUAUGAAGUUAGCGGCGGACGGGUGAGUAACACGUGAGUAACCUGCCCAUAAGACUGGGAUAACUCCGGGAAACCGGGGCUAAUACCGGAUAACAUUUUGAACCGCAUGGUUCGAAAUUGAAAGGCGGCUUCGGCUGUAACUUAUGGAUGGACCCGCGUCGCAUUAGCUAGUUGGUGAGGUAACGGCUCACCAAGGCAACGAUGCGUAGCCGACCUGAGAGGGUGAUCGGCCACACUGGGACUGAGACACGGCCCAGACUCCUACGGGAGGCAGCAGUAGGGAAUCUUCCGCAAUGGAUGAAAGUCUGACGGAGCAACGCCGCGUGAGUGAUGAAGGCUUUCGGGUCGUAAAACUCUGUUGUUAGGGAAGAACAAGUGCUAGUUGAAUAAGCUGGCACCUUGACGGUACCUAACCAGAAAGCCACGGCUAACUACGUGCCAGCAGCCGCAGUAA